Molecule: ribosomal RNA, 253 nt
Filed under: uncultured bacterium
Lineage: Bacteria
Description: partial 16S ribosomal RNA
Rfam family: Bacterial small subunit ribosomal RNA
Source: RNAcentral
UACGUAGGUGGCAAGCGUUGUCCGGAUUUACUGGGCGUAAAGAGCUCGUAGGCGGCUUGUCGCGUCGUCCGUGAAAACCCACAGCUCAACUGUGGGCUUGCGGUCGAUACGGGCAGGCUAGAGUUCGGUAGGGGAGACUGGAAUUCCUGGUGUAGCGGUGAAAUGCGCAGAUAUCAGGAGGAACACCGGUGGCGAAGGCGGGUCUCUGGGCCGAUACUGACGCUGAGGAGCGAAAGCGUGGGGAGCGAACAGG